This 522-nucleotide ribosomal RNA is filed under the name uncultured bacterium. RNAcentral's name for it is "bacterial SSU rRNA". It matches the Rfam family "Bacterial small subunit ribosomal RNA", at positions 8 to 518 of the family's 1533-position model. The record is from RNAcentral.
AGAGUUGAUUAUGGCUCAGGAUGAACGCUAGCGACAGGCUUAACACAUGCAAGUCGAGGGGCAGCAUAAAAGUAGCAAUACUUGGUGGCGACCGGCGCACGGGUGAGUAACGCGUAUGCAACCUACCUAUCAGAGGGGAAUAACCCGGCGAAAGUCGGACUAAUACCGCAUAAACAGGGGCACCGCAUGGUGAUAUUUGUUAAAGAAAUUCGCUGAUAGAUGGGCAUGCGUUCCAUUAGGUAGUUGGUGAGGUAACGGCUCACCAAGCCGACGAUGGGUAUCCGGCCUGAGAGGGUGUACGGACACAUUGGGACUGAGAUACGGCCCAAACUCCUACGGGAGGCAGCAGCUAAGAAUAUUCCGCAAUGGACGAAAGUCUGACGGAGCGACGCCGCGUGGAUGAAAAGAAGGCCGGAAGGUUGUAAAAUCCUUUUGCUGAUGAAGAAUAAGUGUGGUAGGGAAUGACCGCAUGAUGACAUUAGUCGGUGAAUAAGCCCCGGCUAACUACGUGCCAGCCGCCGC